RNAcentral lists this non-coding RNA (262 nucleotides) under Clostridium collagenovorans. Its description in RNAcentral is "T-box sequence". It matches the Rfam family "T-box leader". Rfam says of the family: Uncharged tRNA acts as the effector for transcription antitermination of genes in the T-box leader family. T-boxes are found upstream of many aminoacyl-tRNA synthetase genes and some amino acid biosynthetic genes usually in Gram-positive bacteria. The record is from RNAcentral. Lineage: Bacteria; Bacillati; Bacillota; Clostridia; Eubacteriales; Clostridiaceae.
UUAAAGACUAAGAAAAGGAAUAGUAAAAGAAAAAUCUAAAAUUAAAUUUUAGAAAGUAUUUUUACAGAGAGAAAAUCAUUUGGUGCAAGAUUUUUAAAAUACAUUCUUUGAACCAGCCUUGGAGUUCUGUACCGAAAUAGUAGUAGGCUACAGCGGUUAUUACCGUUAAUUAUUUUAAGUGAGUAUAAUUUUACUUAAGCUUCAGCGCUUAAAUAAAAUUGUACUAAAUUAGGGUGGCACCGCCGAGACCUCGGUCCCUUUU